RNAcentral lists this ribosomal RNA (736 nucleotides) under uncultured Acidobacteriota bacterium. RNAcentral describes it as "bacterial SSU rRNA". It matches the Rfam family "Bacterial small subunit ribosomal RNA", at positions 15 to 774 of the family's 1533-position model. Lineage: Bacteria; Pseudomonadati; Acidobacteriota. The record is from RNAcentral.
GAUCCUGGCUCAGAAUCAACGCUGGCGGCGUGCCUUAUGCAUGCAAGUCGAACGGCCCUUCUUCGGAAGGGCAGUGGCGGACGGGUGAGUAACACGUAAGUGACCUGCCCGGAAGUGGGGGACAACUCGCCGAAAGGCGGGCUAAUACCGCAUGUGGUCGGUCCUGACCUGUCGGGGCCGAUCAAAGCCUUCGGGCGCUUUCGGAGGGGCUUGCGGCCGAUUAGCUAGUUGGUAGGGUAACGGCCUACCAAGGCCAUGAUCGGUAGCUGGUCUGAGAGGACGGCCAGCCACACGGGGACUGAGACACGGCCCCGACUCCUACGGGAGGCAGCAGCAAGGAAUCUUGCGCAAUGGGCGAAAGCCUGACGCAGCAACGCCGCGUGGGGGAAGAAGGCCUUCGGGUUGUAAACCCCUUUUGCAGGGGACGAAGACUGACGGUACCCUGCGAAUAAGCCACGGCUAACUACGUGCCAGCAACCGCGGUAAUACGUAGGUGGCGAGCGUUGUCCGGAUUUACUGGGCGUAAAGCGCGCGUAGGCGGUUCGUUAAGUCUGAGGUGAAAUCUCCCGGCUCAACUGGGAGGGGUCCUCAGAUACUGGCGGGCUUUGAGGGGGGUAGAGGAGAGCGGAAUUCCCGGUGUAGUGGUGAAAUGCGUAGAUAUCGGGAGGAACACCAGUGGCGAAGGCGGCUCUCUGGGCCCUACCUGACGCUGAGGCGCGAAAGCGGGGAGCGAACG